Rhagoletis zephyria (snowberry fruit fly) is the source of this 918-nucleotide long non-coding RNA. RefSeq lists it as uncharacterized. Lineage: Eukaryota; Metazoa; Arthropoda; Insecta; Diptera; Tephritidae. The record is from RefSeq and is a predicted model, not a curated record.
UCAUUUCAUUUCAUUUCAUUUCAUUUAUUAAGUCUAUGAUUUACAAACCUUACAGACUAGAUGUACAAGCUUACGACCUAAGUGUAAAUUCGAUAUUGAAAGUAUAUAAUUAGGAAUACAUUGAUUCUAGUAAUAAACCAAAACGAGAUCUCGGGAAGGCGAAGUCCAGAUCAAGGCUCUUGGAAAUUCUAUUAAAUUCAAUGAGAGCUCUGGAAAUGGGGUCAUAAUUGUAAUAAUUAGCUUUAUUAACUUUAAUAUUAAACGGGUAAUGAGUGCGUAAAUUUCUAUAUGGUACAUUGAAAUUUAUUUGCAGAAGAAGCUCUGGACAGUCUACUAUGCCAUUAAUAACAUCGUAUAUGAAAAGCAGAGAUUGAAUAGAUCGCCUAGACUCAAGUGAUUUCAGAUUUAUAAGCGCACAGCGGGCCGUAUAAGAUGGUAGGGGAUCACUAAAAUGGAGUGGUUCAAGAGCGAAGCGAAUAAAGCUUCGUUGCACUCUUUCAAGUCUAGAGGAAUGAGUUGAGUAAAUUGGACUCCAGAUUAAAGAGGCGUAUUCAAGCUUCGAACGAACCAGCGAGUUAUAGAGAAUUUUUCGGGUGUAGGGAUCUUUGAAAUCUCUACCAUAGCGCCGCAAAAAAGCAAGAUUAGAGUAGGCUUUAGGAACGAUAUAGCUAAUGUGGUUAAUGAAGAUAAUAAGCCGACUUAUGCGUAAUUAUGCUCUUUGAAAGAGUCAUAUGGAGACAUUUUUUAAUAUUAAGCGGUAAGUUAUUUCUGAUGCUCCAAGUAGUUAAGUUGUUAAGAUCAUUUUGUAAUAGCAAAACAUCUGACAAAGAAGUGACACUUCUGAAGAUUUUUAGGUCAUCAGCGUAUAGCAAAAACUUGGAAUGCUUAAAGCAGGCUCCAACGUCAUUAAUAAAUAAA